Molecule: long non-coding RNA, 1289 nt
Filed under: Prunus persica (peach)
Lineage: Eukaryota; Viridiplantae; Streptophyta; Magnoliopsida; Rosales; Rosaceae
Description: long non-coding RNA (PPER_LNC005833)
Source: RNAcentral
UCAGACCAAACUGGACCGUGCCCACCCCUAAUCUCAGGUCAGGUAAAGCCUGUCCAGCUGCAACGUAGCUCUGAUCAGCAUUUAUCUAAUGUCUCCUAGGGGUUGUUUGGUAUGCUUCAUUAUGCUUCAUUGAACUGGACUGGAUUACAUAAGACUUGAAACCCAUGUUUGGCAUUGAAAAGGAUUAACUUAAAUAAGAUUAUAUAGUCCAACAAUUGAAAAAAAAUCCGAAUUCGCAUGUCUAAUAUAGCUAGCCCAAAAUUGGGUUUGCAAAAUAGCUCCUUUGCAAUUUUGAACAGGAGAGUCCGGCUGGAUGGUUUGAAUCAAAACAAACCCCCUGACGCCCCCACCCCCGUGCCCCACAAAUUUCUUCUCCCCAUGACCACCACCCUCAAGCCACUCGCAAAACCAUUUCUCUUCGCCACUAGCAAAACCAUUUCUCUUCGCCACUAGCACAACCCAAAACCAUCUUAGUCCAAUUCGUAGCAGUUCCAAAAAAAAAAAAGAAUUAAUGAACCAAAACCAAAGAGAAUAAGAAAUCUAGGUCUGCGUAUGAUGCUGCUCCUAUUUCUAUUUUGUAGCUUCCUUACUUGCUGAUGAUGUUUUAGCGGCUUAGUUAGAGAAGAAGAAAAUGAGAGAAAGAAAAGAGAGAUAGAAGAAUAAAUAAAAGAGCGAGCAAGAAGGAAAGGUGGCAGGAGGUGGGCUAUUUUUUCUUUUCAAUUCACAAGGGUUGGCUUGUUCUUCCUAAUUAUUAUUUUUUUAAUUAUUUAUUUUUAGGUUAAAAUCUCUAAUUAAAUUUAAUUAUUUAAAUAAAUAUUUUUUACUUUGAUAGAACACUAAACAUAGGUCUUCAUUAUUUUUACAAUCCAGCUUUUUAGUCCGACACAACACCAAAUGUAUAUCAAUACUUAAUCCAGCCUAAUCCAAUCCGAGCAAAUCCAAGACAGUUCUAGGAUUUAGUCCAGUCCAUAACAAUCCGUCGUACCAAACGACCCCUUAAAGUUUAUAUAAGGAGUCUAAGAAAUCUUGCAAGUUGGUAAGGUUAUUGUCAAAAGAUUAAACUUUACAAGACUUAUGGUCAUUGGCCUGCCUCUAAAAGGGGAUUAUUUUCCUAUUCCACUCCUGUUUAUGUAUAGGAUCUACCUUUAAUUUUGCAAGUUGGUACGUGAUUGACCAUUUGCAAUUUGUUGGCAGUCAAUCUAUCGAAACCAUAAAUUAAAUAGAUUCGUAAAUACUCUUUUUAAAUUGGAACAUUUUGUACUCCUAUAAACAAAAAUAAUUAAUAUCAG